GGGCCCGCACAAGCAGCGGAGCAUGUGGUUUAAUUCGAAGCAACGCGAAGAACCUUACCAGGUCUUGACAUCCAGUAAAAGCUGUAGAGAUACAGUGUGCCUUCGGGCAUACUGAGACAGGUGGUGCAUGGUUGUCGUCAGCUCGUGUCGUGAGAUGUUGGGUUAAGUCCCGCAACGAGCGCAACCCUUGCUAAUAGUUACUAACGGAUAACGCCGAGGACUCUAUUGGGACUGCCGUGGACAACACGGAGGAAGGUGGGGACGACGUCAAAUCAUCAUGCCCCUUAUGACCUGGGCUACACACGUGCUACAAUGGUCGCAACAAAGAGAAGCGAGGGCGCAAGCCGGAGCGGAUCUCAAAAAAGCGGUCUCAGUUCGGAUUGUGGGCUGCAACCCGCCCACAUGAAGCAGGAGUUGCUAGUAAUCGCGAAUCAGCAUGUCGCGGUGAAUACGUUCCCGGGCCUU
RNAcentral lists this ribosomal RNA (465 nucleotides) under uncultured bacterium. RNAcentral describes it as "bacterial SSU rRNA". It matches the Rfam family "Bacterial small subunit ribosomal RNA", at positions 917 to 1382 of the family's 1533-position model. The record is from RNAcentral.